GGUUGCAAAGUGGUUAAAGCUUUUAGCUGCUAACCAAAAUGCUGGUGGUUUGAACCCACCAGCCA
Molecule: transfer RNA, 65 nt
Filed under: Loxodonta africana (African savanna elephant)
Lineage: Eukaryota; Metazoa; Chordata; Mammalia; Proboscidea; Elephantidae
Rfam family: tRNA
About the family: Transfer RNA (tRNA) molecules are approximately 80 nucleotides in length.
Source: Rfam by way of RNAcentral